Molecule: long non-coding RNA, 319 nt
Organism: Sebastes umbrosus (honeycomb rockfish)
Lineage: Eukaryota; Metazoa; Chordata; Actinopteri; Perciformes; Sebastidae
Exons: 3
Source: RefSeq, a predicted model, not a curated record
UGUUGGGUUUGAGGUGAGUGUGUGUUUGUGGGAAGUGAGUGGUGAAGCAAGAGAAUGAGAGAGACGGCGGCAACGGGAGUGAGUAGAGUUAUCAACUCCGGCACGAGCAGGACAAGUUAACAGAGUUCGGCUACUGAUGGAACAUGGCGGAAUCUGUGGAGAGAGGAGCCUCUCCCUAUGUAGAUAGAAACGGCUCAUUCUGAGGUAACGAAAACACAACGAUUCUUAUUAACAGGUGAUUUAUACACCAAAGGAAAACAUACUUAUUAAUAUUAUUAAAUUCCAUUUCUGCCAAUAGAUCCCCCUAAUUGUUACACAC